This is a ribosomal RNA of Lepisosteus oculatus (spotted gar), 119 nucleotides long. Lineage: Eukaryota; Metazoa; Chordata; Actinopteri; Semionotiformes; Lepisosteidae. The record is from Ensembl.
GGAAGCAGCCAUAUCACCCUGCAACUCACAACUGGCAACCCACUAAAGCUAAGCAGGUGUGAGCCUGGUCAGUAGCUGGAUGGGAGACCUCCUGGGAAAAACUAAGGUUGCUGCUGGAA